Molecule: ribosomal RNA, 412 nt
Filed under: uncultured prokaryote
Description: bacterial SSU rRNA
Rfam family: Bacterial small subunit ribosomal RNA
Source: RNAcentral
GUGUCAGCCGCCGCGGUAAUACGUAGGGUGCAAGCGUUAAUCGGAAUUACUGGGCGUAAAGCGUGCGCAGGCGGUUAUACAAGACAGGCGUGAAAUCCCCGGGCUUAACCUGGGAAUUGCGUCUGUGACUGUAUGGCUAGAGUGUGUCAGAGGGGGGUAGAAUUCCACGUGUAGCAGUGAAAUGCGUAGAUAUGUGGAGGAAUACCAAUGGCGAAGGCAGCCCCCUGGGAUAACACUGACGCUCAUGCACGAAAGCGUGGGGAGCAAACAGGAUUAGAUACCCUGGUAGUCCACGCCCUAAACGAUGCUGACUAGUUGUUCGGGAUUUUAUCCUGAGUAACGUAGCUAACGCGUGAAGUCAGCCGCCUGGGGAGUACGGUCGCAAGAUUAAAACUUAAAUGAAUUGACGGGG